This 513-nucleotide ribosomal RNA is filed under the name uncultured bacterium. Its description in RNAcentral is "partial 16S ribosomal RNA". It matches the Rfam family "Bacterial small subunit ribosomal RNA", at positions 28 to 523 of the family's 1533-position model. The record is from RNAcentral.
GAUGAACGCUGGCGGCGUGCCUAAUACAUGCAAGUCGAGCGAACAGACGAGGAGCUUGCUCCUCUGACGUUAGCGGCGGACGGGUGAGUAACACGUGGAUAACCUACCUAUAAGACUGGGAUAACUUCGGGAAACCGGAGCUAAUACCGGAUAAUAUAUUGAACCGCAUGGUUCAAUAGUGAAAGACGGUUUUGCUGUCACUUAUAGAUGGAUCCGCGCCGCAUUAGCUAGUUGGUAAGGUAACGGCUUACCAAGGCAACGAUGCGUAGCCGACCUGAGAGGGUGAUCGGCCACACUGGAACUGAGACACGGUCCAGACGCCUACGGGAGGCAGCAGUAGGGAAUCUUCCGCAAUGGGCGAAAGCCUGACGGAGCAACGCCGCGCGAGUGAUGAAGUUCUUCGGAUCGUAAAACUCUGUUAUUAGGGAAGAACAAAUGUGUAAGUAACUAUGCACGUCUUGACGGUACCUAAUCAGAAAGCCACGGCUAACUACGUGCCAGCCGCCGCUGUAA